Pelodiscus sinensis (Chinese soft-shelled turtle) is the source of this 1940-nucleotide non-coding RNA. The record is from the annotation of a RefSeq genome assembly. NCBI's taxonomy places the organism in Eukaryota, Metazoa, Chordata, Testudines, Trionychidae.
GGCGAUGCCACAGGCCGGGAGUUCGGCUCAAGUUUGUUCCAGACAGCCCGGGACGAUCCGGCAGGGAGCGUCCAGUCAGCUACAUUGGAAAUCAAGACCAGUCCUUCUCCGGUCUUCUGUCUAGUGGACAAACACAUUGAGUUGCAUUGUAAUUUUACAAUCUGGAAGAGUGUCCAGUUGGAGGAUGUGGCAGUGAAAUGGACCUUAAACAAUGAAUUUGGAGAGAAGCCAGUGUACCAGUUUGAUGGAAAGCAUACGUUAUAUCACCGGAAGGGGGUCUUGGUGAAUCCUGAAUUACUGACCCAGGGCAGUGCAUCCCUGAACCUGCAUAAUGUGACAGUAGAUGACGAAGGGGUCUACACAUGUACGGUUUUGAUAUCGCCACAAUAUGGAAGUGGAACAGUCCGGCUCCAAGUUAGAGCUCAGCCUACAGUGUUGCUGUCACCCCAAAACCCCCAAAUUACAGCAGGGGGAGAGAAAACUUUUUCCUGUGAUGUUCAUCAAUUUUACCCUCAAAAAAUUGACAUUUCCUGGCUGGUUAGGAAGUAUGGGAGUAAACACGAGAGGCCGUUAACGCAGGACAUUUGCACUGGAGUCCCACUGCCUCAUGAUAAAAAGGGCGUGUUCACCGUGCUGAGUCGGGUAACCCAAGAUUUGUCUGAAGAGGAUGAUGGAUCCUUGUACAUCUGUGAAGUUCAACAUGAAUCCCUAGAAAAGCCGCUGAGAGGAAAUACAACCAUAUUUGUCACAAAUCCAAAGCAGUAUCAUCGGGAUACGGGGUUCAUCGUUGGAGUGGCUGCUGCCUGUGUUGUGAUAACUGGAGCAUGUAGCAUAUUUUUUACCAUAUUCUAUCAGGAACGACUUAUGAAAGUGCCGCCUCAGGUUUCCUUGAUUAACAAACCAGAUGUGAUCCCCAUUAAUGAGAAGCUGAAGCUGAUGUGCAACAUAAAUGGGUUUAGACCAAAAGCAAUUAGUGUGAAAUGGCACCGGAGAACCCCCCAGAUGGCAUCAAGUGAAGCUGCCGGGGAAACCUCUUUUCUUCUAGGUCCUAGAGAAGAUAUUACAGACAAGGCAAAGCAGCCUCUGGAAACCUAUGGCAAGUUCUUCAGUGUCCCCUCCUGUCUGACCUACAUACCCACCAUCCAGGAUGAUGGGGCAGUGUUUGAAUGCAGUGUUGAGCACAGCGCACUGAAGAGUGUUAAAUGGAUGAGCACCACACUGAAUGUCACCGCUCGUCCAGCAAGCUUUUACAUCACUACCUGGCCUCAGACUCCUGCGGUCGGGGAGAAGCUCAUCCUGAGCUGCGUAGUAGAGAAAUUUUACCCAAAAGAUAUCACUUUGACUUGGUUUCGAAAUGGAAAGCUGGUUAAGGAGGUGACCCAGUUUGGACCUUUCCCUUGUGAAAUUGACUAUUUCAGUGUCUGGAGCCAGACUGAGUUUCUAAUGACGAAUGAUGAGGAAGGGGUAGUUUAUAUCUGCCAGAUAAAACACAGCAGCUUUGGAAAUAUUGAAGAACUCUCCUAUAAAGUUAACUUGCAAGGGAUGCCCCCUGAAGUUCUCUGGAUCACCACAGACCCCUCCGUCCCCGUGGUGGGAGAGGAACUGAGGCUGAACUGCAGGAUCAAUAACUUCUCCCCCAAUGUGAUCACUGUAAACUGGUUCCGAGACGGGCAGCCGCUGCAAGCGGGAGUCUGCCAGUCGGUCUCGGUAAUGGGAGCCAGCGGCUUGCACUCCAUCUGGAGUGUUUUGAGAGUCACGCCUGGAAAGGAAGAGGAGGGAGCCGUGUUUACAUGUCAGGUGACACAUGCUGCUUUAAGGGACCCUGUGGAAAGAUCAUACACUCUGCAGCUGACUGGUUGACUUGGUGAAAGUUGAGCAGACUGCUCAGGAUGGGAGUGAGGAUGCAGACGGUACACUUCCAGCACAGGGACAUUUGUCUG